This 418-nucleotide ribosomal RNA is filed under the name Myzostoma sp. D MMS-2014. RNAcentral's name for it is "partial 16S ribosomal RNA". It matches the Rfam family "Bacterial large subunit ribosomal RNA", at positions 1858 to 2578 of the family's 2925-position model. Lineage: Eukaryota; Metazoa; Annelida; Myzostomida; Myzostomatidae. The record is from RNAcentral.
UCUGCUCAAUGUAUUAAAUUAUAAAUAGCUGCAUCAUAUGUACUAAGGUAGCGUAAUAAUUUGCCUUUUAAUUGAAGGAUUGUAUGAAGGAAUCCACAAGAAAUUACCUGUCUUUUUUUUAUAAAUAAAAAUUAAUUUACAAGUGAAAAAGCUUGUUUUAAAUAAAUAGACAAGAAGACCCUGUUGAGCUUUUUCUAUAAAAUAAUAUAUAGAUUUUGUUGGGGCAACAUAUAAACUUUAUUCAUUAUUUUAUUUUAAGAACAAAUUCUUUUUAAUUAACUUAUUUCAUAAAAAAUUAAUAAGUUACCACAGGGAUAACAGGCUAAUUCUUUUUUAGAGUUCAAAUUAACAAAAGAGUUUGGCACCUCGAUGUUGGCUUAAAGUAUCAAUUAAUUGCAGAAGAUUAAUUUGUUGGUUU